This is a long non-coding RNA of Homo sapiens (human), 423 nucleotides long. Ensembl annotates it as long intergenic non-protein coding RNA 2613. NCBI's taxonomy places the organism in Eukaryota, Metazoa, Chordata, Mammalia, Primates, Hominidae. The record is from Ensembl.
AGGCAAGGCUGAGCAGAUAAGAAAGGGUGCUCUCCGGAAUUUAUGGUGCAGAGCAAUGAUAGAAUGGAUUCCUACAAACAUUUCUCUGUCCAAAAAUUGUUGGCAGCUGGCACAGCUAACUCUUAAGUUCUGGAUGCUACAGUUUCUACCCAAUCUCCAUGGGAUAACCACAUUGGUUUGUUUAGUAAACACUGAGACCAACUCCACCAUCCAGAGGCCUGACAGACAAAUGGCCUGAGACAGGGCUGGGAAAGUUUUGCUUCUGGUUGGGACUUCAGGAAGAGUUUUGUUUUGUUUUGUUUUCCCCCAAGGGAACAAGCCCUUGAAUCCGGGAGGCCAAGGUUGCGGUGAACCGAGAUUGCGCCAUUGCACUCCAGCCUGGGCAACAAGAGCGAAACUCCGUCUCAAAAACAUAAAAAGUAA